RNAcentral lists this ribosomal RNA (497 nucleotides) under uncultured bacterium. RNAcentral's name for it is "partial 16S ribosomal RNA". It matches the Rfam family "Bacterial small subunit ribosomal RNA", at positions 28 to 507 of the family's 1533-position model. The record is from RNAcentral.
GAUGAACGCUGGCGGCGUGCCUAAUACAUGCAAGUCGAACGAAAGCACCAGAAGCUUGCUCUUUUCAUGUUAGCGGCGGACGGGUGAGUAACACGUGGAUAACCUACUUAUAAGACGGGGAUAACAUCGGGAAACCGGUGCUGAUACCGCAUAAUACUUCGAACCGCAUGGCUCAAAGGGGAAACGCGGCCUUCGCGUCUGUUUUAGAUUGUUCCGCGCUGCAUUAGCUAGUUGGUAAGGUAACGGCCUACCAAGGCACCGAUGCAUAGCCGACCUGAGAGGGUGAUCGGCCACAUUGGAACUGAGACACGGUCCAGACUCCUACGGGAGGCAGCAGUAGGGAAUCUUCCGCAAUGGGCGAAAGCCUGACGGAGCAACGCCGCGUGAGUGAAGAAGGUCUUCGGAUCGUAAAACUCUGUUGUUAGGGAAGAACAGAUGUGGGAGUAACUGUGCACGUCUUGACGGUACCUAAUCAGAAAGCCACGGCUAACUACGUG